Lycium ferocissimum is the source of this 980-nucleotide long non-coding RNA. RefSeq lists it as uncharacterized. NCBI's taxonomy places the organism in Eukaryota, Viridiplantae, Streptophyta, Magnoliopsida, Solanales, Solanaceae. The record is from RefSeq and is a predicted model, not a curated record. The transcript has 2 exons.
AAUUACUCUUCGAUCUUAACUUUUGCUUUCCUCACCUGAGAAGCAAAAAACCUUCGUCGGAAUAUUCAAGUCUCUCGCCGGAAUCACCAAACUAUUCAUCGAAAUCUUCAUCCUACUCGUCGGAAUCUUCAUCAUACUCAUCGGAAACUUCAUCCUAUUCUUCAGAUUUCCCUAGACCUUCAAACCUUUAUAAAACUAUCGAGCAAAGGCCCAAACAGUUCGGUAUCUUUGGAUUUGGGUUUAAAAUAGUCCUAUUUCUUUCUCAUGGACCAUUAAUAGUCCACCUUCUUUUACAAAGUGGCACGGAUUCAGUCUAGAAGCAAACCACCGUGAGAAUUCUAAUAGAAGUCAUACUCACGUGAGCCUCACGUGUUUCCCUCUUUUAAAAAGAAUCAGAAUUAUCUCCAUAUCUUUGUCAAAACAACAUUGAAUAUGGUCCGUUCUUUUCCCCCAAUUCUUCAUAACCCUAAUUUAUAAAUUGGUGAGACCUAAAAGUGAAAAUCAGGUGCGACACAUGGAGUUGUUGUUGAAGAAAGACGGAAAGAGAGACAUUUGUGCGUGGAAUUGCAAGAAUUUUGAAUCUUUUAAAGUUCUUGGGCAGACUUACCAAUACUUGAUGAAAUUAAUUCUAGUUUCGAGGAAGUAGUGAAAAACUAAACUGCGAAGACUGAGAUGAGUUGUUCCGUUCAUAAAGUCAAUCAAGUCGAAGCUAAAAUCGAAAAACUAAAAAUUAAAGAGGAAAAAAUUGAGGCAAACGGAAGCUGAAAUUCUACAACUAUAGGAGAAAAAGAUCAAGAUCAAAAUGCCUUGCGACAGUCACUUGGUUAAUGGUGUUGUGUUCUUAUGAUGUUGUAACAUGCAGAUUGCAAAAUGGGCGUCUUAUACCCCAAAAUAUAAGCAGUUUUCCAUAACUAACUGUACACUUUUCUACUGUAAUGGAUGAUAUAAAUGAAUGAAUAAUACUUCAAUGUUUUAUUACU